AGACAUGAGAGCCAUCUGGCUGUGGCAUAUGUCGCCCUGUUUAUCACGGCUAAUUCCACUGACCUGGUUGGCUCAGAGACUGUCUCUAUCCUCCCUCAUCUCUCCACGUGUGUGUCCCCCCACCACCUAGAACCUGCCUUCUUAGUCAGACAGGACAGUUAACGGUAUAUGAGUACCUAUGCUCCCCUGUUAGAACGUCCAAACUCCCUGGGGAAUCACCUUCUCCAUUGCCAGUGGCUAGCUAUGGCUAACUGAAGACAGAAGGGGAUGCUGGGAAAGAUGGCCAAAGAGGUAAGAAAGGGAGAAGCAGAUUCCAGUCUUU
RNAcentral lists this small nuclear RNA (322 nucleotides) under Nannospalax galili (Upper Galilee mountains blind mole rat). RNAcentral describes it as "7SK RNA (ENSNGAG00000008647.1)". It matches the Rfam family "7SK RNA". Rfam says of the family: 7SK was discovered as an abundant small nuclear RNA in the mid-70s but a possible function has only recently been suggested. Two independent studies have found that 7SK RNA binds the CDK9/cyclin T complex (known as elongation factor P-TEFb). The record is from Rfam by way of RNAcentral. Lineage: Eukaryota; Metazoa; Chordata; Mammalia; Rodentia; Spalacidae.